UUACACAUGCAAGUCGAACGGUAACAGGUCUUCGGAUGCUGACGAGUGGCGAACGGGUGAGUAAUACAUCGGAACGUGCCUAGUAGCGGGGGAUAACUACUCGAAAGAGUAGCUAAUACCGCAUGAGAUCUACGGAUGAAAGCAGGGGACCUUCGGGCCUUGUGCUACUAGAGCGGCUGAUGGCAGAUUAGGUAGUUGGUGGGGUAAAGGCUUACCAAGCCUGCGAUCUGUAGCUGGUCUGAGAGGACGACCAGCCACACUGGGACUGAGACACGGCCCAGACUCCUACGGGAGGCAGCAGUGGGGAAUUUUGGACAAUGGGCGAAAGCCUGAUCCAGCAAUGCCGCGUGCAGGAUGAAGGCCCUCGGGUUGUAAACUGCUUUUGUACGGAACGAAAAGCCUGGGGCUAAUACCCCCGGGUCAUGACGGUACCGUAAGAAUAAGCACCGGCUAACUACGUGCCAGCAGCCGCGGUAAUACGUAGGGUGCAAGCGUUAAUCGGAAUUACUGGGCGUAAAGCGUGCGCAGGCGGUUUUGUAAGACAGUGGUGAAAUCCCCGGGCUCAACCUGGGAACUGCCAUUGUGACUGCAAGGCUAGAGUGCGGCAGAGGGGGAUGGGAUUCCGCGUGUAGCAGUGAAAUGCGUAGAUAUGCGGAGGAACACCGAUGGCGAAG
This 674-nucleotide ribosomal RNA is filed under the name uncultured beta proteobacterium. RNAcentral's name for it is "bacterial SSU rRNA". It matches the Rfam family "Bacterial small subunit ribosomal RNA", at positions 49 to 720 of the family's 1533-position model. Lineage: Bacteria; Pseudomonadati; Pseudomonadota; Betaproteobacteria. The record is from RNAcentral.